GGGGAAUAUUGGACAAUGGGGGCAACCCUGAUCCAGCAAUGCCGCGUGUGUGAAGAAGGUCUUCGGAUUGUAAAGCACUUUCGACGGGGACGAUGAUGACGGUACCCGUAGAAGAAGCCCCGGCUAACUUCGUGCCAGCAGCCGCGGUAAUACGAAGGGGGCUAGCGUUGCUCGGAAUGACUGGGCGUAAAGGGCGUGUAGGCGGUUUACACAGUCAGAUGUGAAAUCCCCGGGCUUAACCUGGAGCUGCAUUUGAUACGUGUAGACUAGAGUGUGAGAGAGGGUUGUGGAAUUCCCAGUGUAGAGGUGAAAUUCGUAGA
RNAcentral lists this ribosomal RNA (320 nucleotides) under uncultured bacterium. RNAcentral's name for it is "partial 16S ribosomal RNA". It matches the Rfam family "Bacterial small subunit ribosomal RNA", at positions 356 to 694 of the family's 1533-position model. The record is from RNAcentral.